Molecule: long non-coding RNA, 904 nt
Organism: Leptinotarsa decemlineata (Colorado potato beetle)
Lineage: Eukaryota; Metazoa; Arthropoda; Insecta; Coleoptera; Chrysomelidae
Source: RefSeq, a predicted model, not a curated record
UCUGGAACAGUUGUCAGAGGGUGAUGGCAAUCGAACACAGGCAUGUCGGGAGAGGGCAUCAGCCACAACAUUUUCGUGACCAGGAACGUGAUAAAUCUUAAAAGAAUACUCCUGAAGCGCUAGGGCCCAACGGGUAAUCCUAGGGGAAAGUAACCUACAGGUGUUGAGGUGAUCCAGGUGCUGCGACACACUCGAUGAGGCAACUAGAAGGUCAUCAAUAUAAGUUACCAAGAAGUUAGAAAAUUUUGCUCCAAAUAUUGUAUCGAUGGCCCUGGAGAAGGAUGCUACAGCAGUCGAAAUACCAUAAGGUAAAACACACCAUUGACAGGCCAAGACACUUUGACGCCACAUUUUCAACAUCAAUUUCACAAACAUUUAAGUCUACAAUAGAAGAGCUUACUUUACUAUGGCAAUAUUGCUCGUCCUGAAGAUGGAGUCUCGAAACGUUAGUUUGAGAUUGAGGAUUGUGAAAUGACAAAGAAGACCUCCUGGAGUUGCCCUCGUUACUUUGAUGAUCUGGUAGAGGUAAUGGAGAAGCACCUUCCAUAUUUAAUAAAGAUAUGUUACCUUGAUUUUCAGACGUUUUACUUUGAACCUUCUCUGUUACAGGAAUGUCGUUUGCAUUCUCUGGCCAGUUCUCUUGGUCUCGCCUCCGAUUCCUCAAGUUGUACUGCAGGCCUUGUGGAGACUUUUCCAACACCAUUUUCUUGUCUCUUCAGGAAAAAAACAGCCCAAAGUUUUUCGCCAGAUGUAAGGGUUCAAUCUCAGGGUUUUUCGAAAAGGGGUUGCUGCUGAUCCAAUGAGACACAGGAUAAGGCACGGGACUCGACGGUGAAUCUUGUCCUUAAGGACCACAGUAAGGUAAUUUAGAACGAAGUUCACUUUAAAGAGCAAACAAGAAGAA